GAUAAGAACGUAGCGAAAUGCGAUAAGUAAUGUGAAUUGCAGAAUUCAGUGAAUCAUCGAAUCUUUGAACGCACAUUGCGCCCGCCAGUAUUCUGGCGGGCAUGCCUGUUCGAGCGUCAUUUCAACCCUCAAGACCCCUUCGGGGGACUUGGUGUUGGGGACCGGCAUAGGGGCCUUGCGCCCCUCGCCGCCCCCGAAAUGAAUUGGCGGCCUCGUCGCGGCCUCCCCUGCGUAGUAGCACAACCUCGCAACGGGAACGUGACGGCGGCCACUGCCGUAAAACAACCCAAUUUUAUUAGAGUUGACCUCGAAUCAGGUAGGAAUACCCGCUGAACUUAAGCAUAUCAAUAAGCGGAGGA
RNAcentral lists this unclassified non-coding RNA (359 nucleotides) under soil metagenome. RNAcentral's name for it is "partial contains 5.8S ribosomal RNA, internal transcribed spacer 2, and large subunit ribosomal RNA". The stretch from base 4 to 119 matches the Rfam family "5.8S ribosomal RNA", at positions 39 to 154 of the family's 154-position model. The record is from RNAcentral.